ACAGCAGCAGCCGCGGGAAUACGUAGGGUGCAAGCGUUAAUCGGAAUUACUGGGCGUAAAGGGAGCGCAGGCGGUUUAGUAAGUCUGGAGUUAAAGGCAUUGGCUCAACCAAUGUAUGCUUUGGAAACUGUUUGACUUGAGUGCAGAAGGGGAGAGUGGAAUUCCAUGUGUAGCGGAGAAAUGCGUAGAUAUAUGGAGGAACACCGGUGGCGAAAGCGGCUCUCUGGUCUGUCACUGACGCUGAGGCUCGAAAGCGUGGGUAGCGAACAGGAUUAGAUACCCCAGUAGUCCCUGUCUCUUAUACC
This 305-nucleotide ribosomal RNA is filed under the name uncultured bacterium. RNAcentral's name for it is "partial 16S ribosomal RNA". It matches the Rfam family "Bacterial small subunit ribosomal RNA", at positions 505 to 808 of the family's 1533-position model. The record is from RNAcentral.